UGUGCAUUCCGUAAAUUCUCUUAACAUGGGU
Molecule: non-coding RNA, 31 nt
Filed under: Mus musculus (house mouse)
Lineage: Eukaryota; Metazoa; Chordata; Mammalia; Rodentia; Muridae
Source: RNAcentral